CCUACGGGUGGCAGCAGUGGGGAAUAUUGCACAAUGGGCGAAAGCCUGAUGCAGCAACGCCGCGUGAAGGAAGAAGGGUUUCGGCUCGUAAACUUCUUUGACAGGGGAAGAGCAGAAGACGGUACCCUGAAAACAAGCCACGGCUAACUACGUGCCAGCAGCCGCGGUAAUACGUAGGUGGCAAGCGUUGUCCGGAUUUACUGGGUGUAAAGGGCGUGUAGCCGGGAAGGCAAGUCAGAUGUGAAAUCUGGAGGCUCAACCUCCAAAUUGCAUUUGAAACUGUUUUUCUUGAGUACUGGAGAGGCAGACGGAAUUCCUUGUGUAGCGGUGAAAUGCGUAGAUAUAAGGAGGAACACCAGUGGCGAAGGCGGUCUGCUGGACAGCAACUGACGGUGAGGCGCGAAAGCGUGGGGAGCAAACAGGAUUAGAUACCCGAGUAGUC
RNAcentral lists this ribosomal RNA (442 nucleotides) under uncultured bacterium. RNAcentral describes it as "partial 16S ribosomal RNA". It matches the Rfam family "Bacterial small subunit ribosomal RNA", at positions 338 to 795 of the family's 1533-position model. The record is from RNAcentral.